GGUUAAGCGACUAAGCGUACACGGUGGAUGCCCUGGCAGUCAGAGGCGAUGAAGGACGUGCUAAUCUGCGAAAAGCGUCGGUAAGGUGAUAUGAACCGUUACAGCCGGCGAUGUCCGAAUGGGGAAACCCAGUGCAAUUCGUUGCACUAUCGUUAACUGAAUACAUAGGUUAACGAGGCGAACCGGGGGAACUGAAACAUCUAAGUACCCCGAGGAAAAGAAAUCAACCGAGAUUCCCCCAGUAGCGGCGAGCGAACGGGGAGCAGCCCAGAGUCUGAAUCAGCUUGUGUGUUAGUGGAACGGUCUGGAAAGUCCGACGGUACAGGGUGAUAGUCCCGUACACCAAAAUGCACAGGCUGUGAACUCGAAGAGUAGGGCGGGACACGUGGUAUCCUGUCUGAAUAUGGGGGGACCAUCCUCCAAGGCUAAAUACUCCUGACUGACCGAUAGUGAACCAGUACCGUGAGGGAAAGGCGAAAAGAACCCCGGCGAGGGGAGUGAAAAAGAACCUGAAACCGUGUACGUACAAGCAGUGGGAGCACCUUCGGGUGUGACUGCGUACCUUUUGUAUAAUGGGUCAGCGACUUAUAUUCUGUAGCAAGGUUAACCGUAUAGGGGAGCCGCAGGGAAACCGAGUCUUAACUGGGCGUUAAGUUGCAGGGUAUAGACCCGAAACCCGGUGAUCUAGCCAUGGGCAGGUUGAAGGUUGGGUAACACUAACUGGAGGACCGAACCGACUAAUGUUGAAAAAUUAGCGGAUGACUUGUGGCUGGGGGUGAAAGGCCAAUCAAACCGGGAGAUAGCUGGUUCUCCCCGAAAGCUAUUUAGGUAGCGCCUCGUGAAUUCAUCUUCGGGGGUAGAGCACUGUUUCGGCUAGGGGGUCAUCCCGACUUACCAACCCGAUGCAAACUACGAAUACCGAAGAAUGUUAUCACGGGAGACACACGGCGGGUGCUAACGUCCGUCGUGAAGAGGGAAACAACCCAGACCGCCAGCUAAGGUCCCAAAGUCAUGGUUAAGUGGGAAACGAUGUGGGAAGGCACAGACAGCCAGGAUGUUGGCUUAGAAGCAGCCAUCAUUUAAAGAAAGCGUAAUAGCUCACUGGUCGAGUCGGCCUGCGCGGAAGAUGUAACGGGGCUAAACCAUGCACCGAAGCUGCGGCAGCGACACUAUGUGUUGUUGGGUAGGGGAGCGUUCUGUAAGCCUGCGAAGGUGACCUGUGAGGGUUGCUGGAGGUAUCAGAAGUGCGAAUGCUGACAUAAGUAACGAUAAAGCGGGUGAAAAGCCCGCUCGCCGGAAGACCAAGGGUUCCUGUCCAACGUUAAUCGGGGCAGGGUGAGUCGACCCCUAAGGCGAGGCCGAAAGGCGUAGUCGAUGGGAAACAGGUUAAUAUUCCUGUACUUGGUGUUACUGCGAAGGGGGGACGGAGAAGGCUAUGUUAGCCGGGCGACGGUUGUCCCGGUUUAAGCAUGUAGGCUGGUUAUCCAGGCAAAUCCGGAUAAUCAAGGCUGAGGUGUGAUGACGAGGCACUACGGUGCUGAAGUAACAAAUGCCCUGCUUCCAGGAAAAGCCUCUAAGCAUCAGGUAACAUUAAAUCGUACCCCAAACCGACACAGGUGGUCAGGUAGAGAAUACCAAGGCGCUUGAGAGAACUCGGGUGAAGGAACUAGGCAAAAUGGUGCCGUAACUUCGGGAGAAGGCACGCUGGUGUGUAGGUGAAGUCCCUGCGGAUGGAGCUGAGACCAGUCGAAGAUACCAGCUGGCUGCAACUGUUUAUUAAAAACACAGCACUGUGCAAACACGAAAGUGGACGUAUACGGUGUGACGCCUGCCCGGUGCCGGAAGGUUAAUUGAUGGGGUUAUCCGUAAGGAGAAGCUCUUGAUCGAAGCCCCGGUAAACGGCGGCCGUAACUAUAACGGUCCUAAGGUAGCGAAAUUCCUUGUCGGGUAAGUUCCGACCUGCACGAAUGGCGUAAUGAUGGCCAGGCUGUCUCCACCCGAGACUCAGUGAAAUUGAACUCGCUGUGAAGAUGCAGUGUACCCGCGGCAAGACGGAAAGACCCCGUGAACCUUUACUAUAGCUUGACACUGAACAUUGAGCCUUGAUGUGUAGGAUAGGUGGGAGGCUUUGAAGCGUGGACGCCAGUCUGCGUGGAGCCAACCUUGAAAUACCACCCUUUAAUGUUUGAUGUUCUAACGUUGGCCCCUUACCGGGGUUGCGGACAGUGUCUGGUGGGUAGUUUGACUGGGGCGGUCUCCUCCCAAAGCGUAACGGAGGAGCACGAAGGUUAGCUAAUCCUGGUCGGACAUCAGGAGGUUAGUGCAAUGGCAUAAGCUAGCUUGACUGCGAGCGUGACGGCGCGAGCAGGUGCGAAAGCAGGUCAUAGUGAUCCGGUGGUUCUGAAUGGAAGGGCCAUCGCUCAACGGAUAAAAGGUACUCCGGGGAUAACAGGCUGAUACCGCCCAAGAGUUCAUAUCGACGGCGGUGUUUGGCACCUCGAUGUCGGCUCAUCACAUCCUGGGGCUGAAGUAGGUCCCAAGGGUAUGGCUGUUCGCCAUUUAAAGUGGUACGCGAGCUGGGUUUAGAACGUCGUGAGACAGUUCGGUCCCUAUCUGCCGUGGGCGCUGGAGAAUUGAGGGGGGCUGCUCCUAGUACGAGAGGACCGGAGUGGACGCAUCACUGGUGUUCGGGUUGUCAUGCCAAUGGCACUGCCCGGUAGCUAAAUGCGGAAGAGAUAAGUGCUGAAAGCAUCUAAGCACGAAACUUGCCCCGAGAUGAGUUCUCCCUGAGACUUUAAGUCUCCUGAAGGAACGUUGAAGACGACGACGUUGAUAGGCCGGGUGUGUAAGCGCAGCGAUGCGUUGAGCUAACCGGUACUAAUGAACCGUGAGGCUUAACCUU
Molecule: ribosomal RNA, 2902 nt
Filed under: Klebsiella pneumoniae
Lineage: Bacteria; Pseudomonadati; Pseudomonadota; Gammaproteobacteria; Enterobacterales; Enterobacteriaceae
Description: 23S ribosomal RNA
Rfam family: Bacterial large subunit ribosomal RNA
Source: RNAcentral